This 247-nucleotide long non-coding RNA is filed under the name Physcomitrium patens. RNAcentral describes it as "long non-coding RNA (PPAT_LNC000719)". Lineage: Eukaryota; Viridiplantae; Streptophyta; Bryopsida; Funariales; Funariaceae. The record is from RNAcentral.
AAAGUCAAAUACUUGACUCAAUGUUUGAGGAUCAAGUAAGUUGAGCAUUAAUUUUUUUUACCUCAUAUUUUAAUUCAUAGAGAAAUUGGCUAAUAAGUACAGCAUCAUCCCACUUGAUAUCAGUUGCAAGUUUUCAAAAUCAUGAAGCGUACAAUAUUAUUGAUCGAUUAUCUUGUUGUAAAAUACAGAUCUUGUUGGUUGCAACAUGAAUUGCAUCAUGUUUUCCAUACAUGGAUCAAAACUUUGC